This 66-nucleotide transfer RNA is filed under the name Rhithrogena sp. XL-2019. RNAcentral's name for it is "tRNA-Thr". It matches the Rfam family "tRNA". Rfam says of the family: Transfer RNA (tRNA) molecules are approximately 80 nucleotides in length. Their secondary structure includes four short double-helical elements and three loops (D, anti-codon, and T loops). Further hydrogen bonds mediate the characteristic L-shaped molecular structure. tRNAs have two regions of fundamental functional importance: the anti-codon, which is responsible for specific mRNA codon recognition, and the 3' end, to which the tRNAs corresponding amino acid is attached (by aminoacyl-tRNA synthetases). tRNAs cope with the degeneracy of the genetic code in two manners: having more than one tRNA (with a specific anti-codon) for a particular amino acid; and 'wobble' base-pairing, i.e. permitting non-standard base-pairing at the 3rd anti-codon position. Lineage: Eukaryota; Metazoa; Arthropoda; Insecta; Ephemeroptera; Heptageniidae. The record is from RNAcentral.
GUUUUAAUAGUUUAAAAUAAAACACUGGUCUUGUAAAUCAGUAAUGAGAUUAAUUCUCUUAAAACU